Molecule: ribosomal RNA, 247 nt
Filed under: uncultured archaeon
Lineage: Archaea
Description: partial 16S ribosomal RNA
Rfam family: Archaeal small subunit ribosomal RNA
Source: RNAcentral
CCGACGGUGAGAGGCGAAAGCUGGGGGAGCAAACCGGAUUAGAUACCCGGGUAGUCCCAGCUGUAAACGAUGCGCGUUAGGUGUGUCAGUGACCACGUGUCACUGAUGUGCCGAAGGGAAACCGUGAAACGCGCCGCCUGGGGAGUACGGUCGCAAGGCUGAAACUUAAAGGAGUUGGCGGGGGAGCACCACAACGGGUGGAGCCUGCGGUUUAAUCGGACUCAACGCCGGAAAUCUCACCGGAUAA